This 403-nucleotide ribosomal RNA is filed under the name uncultured bacterium. RNAcentral's name for it is "partial 16S ribosomal RNA". It matches the Rfam family "Bacterial small subunit ribosomal RNA", at positions 28 to 526 of the family's 1533-position model. The record is from RNAcentral.
GACGAACGCUGGCGGCGUGCCUAAUACAUGCAAGUCGAACGCAGUGGGGACGGGUGAGUAACACGUGGGUAACCUCCCCUCAGAGGGGAUAACACUUGGAAACAGGUGCUAAACCGCUACUGCUGGAUGGCACCGCGGUGCAUUAGCUAGGUGGUGAGGUAACGGCUCACCAAGGCCACGAUGCAUAGCCGACGUGAGAGGGGGAUCGGCCAGACGGGGACUGAGACACGGCCCAGACUCCUACGGGAGGCAGCAGUAGGGAAUCGUCGGCAAUGGACGAAAGUCUGACCGAGCAACGCAGCGUGAGUGAAGAAGGUUUGCGGAUCGUAAAACUCUGUUGUUAGAGAAGCGGUAUCUAACCAGAAAGCCACGGCUAACUACGUGCCAGCAGCCGCGGUAAUUC